UUUAGAUCCGAACUCCCCCCU
RNAcentral lists this non-coding RNA (21 nucleotides) under Caenorhabditis elegans. Lineage: Eukaryota; Metazoa; Nematoda; Chromadorea; Rhabditida; Rhabditidae. The record is from RNAcentral.